GACGAACGCUGGCGGCGUGCCUAAUACAUGCAAGUUGAGCGAUGAAGCUUGGUGCUUGCGCCAAUUUGAAGAGCAGCGAACGGGUGAGUAACGCGUGGGGAAUCUGCCUUUGAGCGGGGGACAACAUUUGGAAACGAAUGCUAAUACCGCAUAACAACUUUAAACAUAAGUUUUAAGUUUGAAAGAUGCAAUUGCAUCACUCAAAGAUGAUCCCGCGUUGUAUUAGCUAGUUGGUGAGGUAAAGGCUCACCAAGGCGAUGAUACAUAGCCGACCUGAGAGGGUGAGCGGCCACAUUGGGACUGAGACACGGCCCAAACGCCUACGGGAGGCAGCAGGAGGGAAUCUUCGGCAAUGGACGAAAGUCUGACCGAGCAACGCCGCGUGAGUGAAGAAGGUUGUCGGAUCGUAAAACUCUGUUGGUAGAGAAGAACGUUGGUGAGAGUGGAAAGCUCAUCAAGUGACGGUAACUACUCAGAAAGGGACGGCUAACUACGUG
Molecule: ribosomal RNA, 497 nt
Filed under: uncultured bacterium
Lineage: Bacteria
Description: partial 16S ribosomal RNA
Rfam family: Bacterial small subunit ribosomal RNA
Source: RNAcentral